RNAcentral lists this ribosomal RNA (412 nucleotides) under uncultured bacterium. RNAcentral's name for it is "bacterial SSU rRNA". It matches the Rfam family "Bacterial small subunit ribosomal RNA", at positions 29 to 474 of the family's 1533-position model. The record is from RNAcentral.
AACGAACGCUGGCGGCAUGCCUAACACAUGCAAGUCGAACGAAGCCUUCGGGCUUAGUGGCGCACGGGUGCGUAACGCGUGGGAAUCUGCCCUUGGGUUCGGAAUAACAGUUAGAAAUGACUGCUAAUACCGAAUGAUGUCUUCGGACCAAAGAUUUAUCGCCCAAGGAUGAGCCCGCGUCGGAUUAGCUAGUUGGUGAGGUAAAGGCUCACCAAGGCGACGAUCCGUAGCUGGUCUGAGAGGAUGAUCAGCCACACUGGGACUGAGACACGGCCCAGACUCCUACGGGAGGCAGCAGUGGGGAAUAUUGCGCAAUGGGCGAAAGCCUGACGCAGCGACGCCGCGUGGGUGAUGAGGGCCUGGUCGUAAAGCCUCGUCGCAGGGGAAGAAGUAAGACAUCGGUAUAAUAACG